GACAGAGGCCUCGAGCGUUAGGCGGAAUCACUGGGCUUAAAGCGUGUGUAGGUGGACUUCUAAGUGCUUUGUGAAAUCCCACGGCUCAACCGUGGAAAUGCUUGGCAUACUGGGAGUCUUGAGCCAUCUAGGGGCAACUGGAACAGACGGUGGAGCGGUGAAAUGCGUAGAUAUCGUCUGGAACGCCAAUGGUGAAGACAGGUUGCUGGGGAUGUGCUGACACUGAGACACGAAAGCCAGGGGAGCGAACGGG
RNAcentral lists this ribosomal RNA (253 nucleotides) under uncultured bacterium. Its description in RNAcentral is "partial 16S ribosomal RNA". It matches the Rfam family "Bacterial small subunit ribosomal RNA", at positions 524 to 776 of the family's 1533-position model. The record is from RNAcentral.